This 365-nucleotide unclassified non-coding RNA is filed under the name uncultured soil eukaryote. Its description in RNAcentral is "sequence contains 5.8S rRNA gene, ITS2, 28S rRNA gene". The record is from RNAcentral.
AACGCAUAUUGCGCUCGAGGCUUCGGCCAAGAGCAUGUCUGCCUCAGCGUCGGGUUAAUAUCACAUUCCCUAUCACCUUGAUUGGUGAUAUAUAUUGGGGCUCAAUGUGGACUUGGCUGUUCCAGUUCAGUGCGGGCUGUUUGACUUAUUGAUUUCAAUAAGGCAUAUGCUGCCCAUCGAGCGCCCUGGAUCAGCUGAAGAACAGAGGCUAACAAGGACUCUUCAAGGGUCGCAACUGAGUAGGCACUUGUUGCUGAUUACUUUAGUUGUUGGCCUGAGACCUUCUGUUCAGCCCUCAACCAGGAAAUAACCUAUUGACCUAUUAUCUCGACCUGAGCUCAGGCAAGAACACCCGCUGAACUUAA